Molecule: long non-coding RNA, 6775 nt
Filed under: Gossypium raimondii (Peruvian cotton)
Lineage: Eukaryota; Viridiplantae; Streptophyta; Magnoliopsida; Malvales; Malvaceae
Description: long non-coding RNA (GRAI_LNC007187)
Source: RNAcentral
UUUUUUUUUUUUUUUGUGAAUUGCAAAAGGGGGUAAAGCCCUAACAGUAACGUGAUUAGCACAACUCAAACUCAGGUUACACUUGAGGCAGUGAACAUCCUUACCAUCAGGCUAACACACAAGGUUUAACUUUAAGAUCAUGUUUAAUUUUUAGUAUGUGUGGAUUUGAUAUUUGUAAUUAAAUCUACCUUGUGUUAAUCUUUUAAAUGGUUAAUUCUAUCUUAAAUAUUUCGUUUUUUUGAAUUUUUAAGAAUAUAAAAUUAAAAACUAAAAAAAAAGCUUACCUGUGUGGCUCACACGGCCAGGAGACACGCCCAUGUUUUAGGCCGUGUGGGCAUUCGAUGUGAGGCACACGGUCGUGUCCUUACUCGCGUAACUCUUUGACUUGGGUCACACGACCAACCACACGCCCGUGUGUUAGGCCAUGUGAAGGGUGCAGGGGUCACACGGCCAAGUCACACGCCCUUGUGCUAGGCUGUGUGCAAAUACCUGGGCAUUCUGUUUUGAAAUUUCAAGGUGCAAGGGACACAUGGCCAGAUUACAUGCUCAUGUGACACACGGCUAAGACACACACCCGUGUCUCUGCCCAUGUGGACGAAAAUAGACCAUUUUAAGGCCACUUUUCUCACCCUUUUUGACAUCAACCUACAUACAACAUUUAAAUACACUAAUAUAUCCCAACCAAGCAAUCAAAACCAACCAAUACAUGUUCUAAACAUAAUAUAACAUUACAUAUACAUCAAUUACUUAUACUUACCCAUUUAACUCAUUUCAUUGAUUUAUCAGAUUCUACUACUAAUUACGCACAUACAAACAUUUAAGAUUCACAACCACAAUUCAAACGAUUUCAUUGCCAAACCAACCAUAUACAUGUCAUAUAAACCAAAAUUUAUAUUUCAAAAACUACCGGAUUAAAUUGGACAGUGUGGCUUGAUAUGUUGAUUCGAUCUUCCGAUCACACGUUAAUCUACAAGAACAUAAACAACACGAGUAAGUUUAAUGAAGCUUAGUAAGUUCAAUAGAUUAAACAUUGAUCUUACUGAACUCAAUAUAUUCAACUAAAUUGUAAAUAAAUCAUACAUUCUCCCUCUCAAAUACAACAUAAGUCAAUGAACACAUUUCCUUUAGAUCAAUAUCAUUAAUAAUCAAUAUAUCUUUCAAUUCAUUCACAUAGGUCUUUUACCAAUUCUUAUUGAAUCGAGGAACGACUUAUGGAUAUGAGUACUCGUUUUCUUUAUGCCAUAGUCCAACUAUGGUCUUACACAUGCAUUGCCAUGGCCCAGCCAUGGUCUUACAUUCGUAGUGCCAUAACCCAGUUAUGGUCUUAUCAUCAGAAUGCCAUAGCCCAGCUAUGGUCUUACUUAUAAAUACUGCCAUGGUCCAACCAUGGUCUUACGUUCAAAGUGCCAUAACCCAGAUAUGGUAUUUUCAUUAAAAUGCCAUAGCCCAACUAUGGUUUUACAUAUAAACAUUGCCAUGGUCCAACCAUGGUCUUAUCCGUCAAUUCAUCCUUUACUAUAAAAUGAUUGUACACUAUCCUGCGUUUUACUUGUUUUAAGCAUUCAUUUCAAUUUCAUAAUUUAACAAUAAAUUUUAGUUUCAAUAAUAAGAAUAUGAAUAAAUAAAUUAUAUCAUUCAUAAAUUAAUAAAUAAUCAUGAAAGUUUAACCAUACGAACUUACCUGGGUUAAAUUGUGGAAUUUGUAGUGGUUCAAAGAUUAUUCGGCUAUUUUUCCUUUUUCGUGUUGGUCUAAGGGCUCUUGAUAUGUAGCAAAAUAUGAAAACCAGCUUCUUAAGGGUUCUUCAAUGGUGUUUUUGGAUGAGAAUUAUGAAGAAAUUUUCUAGAAUUCUCUUAUUAUUUCAAUUUGUAAGCUAAAUUUUUUAUUUUUCUAAUUUUGCCCUUAUUUCACCUGAUUUUUUGAUUUUUCUCUGCCUAUGCCGCCCAAGCCAUCAUCUUUGGGCUAAUUUGCCUUUUAUGUCCUCCCUCAUUUAACACUUGAGCUAUUUAAUCAUUUUAGCAAGUUUUGCACAUUUUUCAAUUUAGUCUUUUUUAAUUAAUUAACUAUCAAAAUGUUAAAAUUUUCUAACGAAAUAUUAAUACUAACUUAAUGACACUCUGUAAAUAUUUAUAAAAAUAUUUACGGCUCGGUUUAUAAAAUUGAGGUCUCGAUACCUCAUUUUUAAACCAUUCUACCUAAUAAAUUAUUCUAAAAUACAAAUCACCAAUUCAAAAAUCUUUCUAAAAUCACACUUGACUCGUAAAUAAUAAAUAACAAAAUUUUCAAACUCACUCGUCGGAUUUAGUGGUCUCGAACCACUAUUUCUGACACCACUGAAAAUUGGGCUGUUACAUCUACCACCUGUUUUGCUUGCAUUAUUUUCCUGAAACUAAACAACAUUGGCCUAUAAAGGAAUGCUCGCCACAAACUCCACCUGUCGUGUCUCACAAUCUAACAACAUCUCAAUAAGCACAUCCAGAGAAACAUUCAUAUCUGAAGCCACCAUGCGAACUUACUCAUACUCCACUGGUAAUCUUGCCAAAAUAAAGUUGACUUAUUCGGGAUCAGGUACCAAUCUAACAACUGCAGUGAGAACAUCACAUAUGUUCCUUAUCUUAGUCAAAUAUUCUUUAAUGGACAACUGUCCCUUUUUUUCUGAGAAUAAAGACUAUGUCUCAGACUAGAAAUCUUCAUGCUUGACUUAGCAACAAACCGUCUUUCAACUGCGAGCCAGACAUCUAGACUCGUGCGAGCAUUAGUAAGAUAAACAAGGAUCUCAUCACACACAGUAGACAAAAGCCGAGAUGCUAAGAGUUUGUCUUGUUGAUUAUGUUUCAAGAACACAGUAUUUUCCACCAAUUGACCAUUGUUGUCAUCAAGAAACUAAGAUGGAACACUGAUAGUGCCUAAAACAAAAUCUUGCAAAUUACAGCCUUUAAGAAUCAAAAUAAUUUGAUGUUUUUACAAAAGAAAUUUUGUUUCAUUGAGCUUAAUAGUAUUAUGCUUAGGAAAUUGAGGAACACGUUUACUCACUAUGCAAGAAUUGCACCCAGGAUCCAAAUGACAAAAAGAUACCUGUGUAGCACCAUUAUCAUCAUUAGCAGAUUGUUAUUGACUACCGCCAUCUCCUGAGAUUAUUUUUAGAGCCAUGACUCACCAACGAAACUUCAACGACUUUCCGCACACUACCAUCAACAAGAAACCGUAGCUCUUGAUACCAUGUUGAAACAUUAAUAGAUAGAGAAAGAACACAUGAACCUUGUACAGCCCAAAUUUACCCGGGUCUCACCAAAUAACAAGCCGAAAAAUUUAAAACCUACCCAAGCCCAAUUACAAAACCCAUUACCCAAAACACAAAUCAGAAAAAAAGAAACCCUAACCCUAGGUGCACCGCACCUAGGGCCUUCUGACAUUGCCGCUGCAACUGCCACCACCGACUCACCCCACUUGCGCCGCGCACGUCCCAUCGUCCUCACCUGCUCCAUCUUCAAACACGCAAGCAAAGAAGGACAAAACAACAGUAGAAACAAUAGAAAAAUCGUAAAAUGGCUAUUUAAAAGCCAUUCAAACAGAUCUAAGGGGGGAUGCUCUUCUUUUUCUUUUUGUAACAUUUUCAAGGAAAUAAAAGUAAAAAAUCAAAGGUGACCCUUUUUUUUUUUUUGCAUCUCUUAUCAUUUCGUAUCUGUUCAUUAUAUUUUUAUACAUAUAUAUAUUUUAUAAAAAUAUAGUUUAUACUUGCGAAAAAUACAAAAAAUAAUAUUUUUUUACCUUCUUGAUUUUUCCGGCCACCGCGUGCGGUGACCGGCGUGGCGCCAGUGCGGUGGGCUGACGAUCGGCGCGACAGGGGUCUUAGAACCCCAUAGGCCGGAUGUUGGAGAGAAAUAAAAUGGAUUUUUUGUUUUUUUUAGAAAAACUGUGGCUGAAAUGAUUUUUGAAGAAAAAAAGGGUUUAAAUACCCUGAACAAAAUGGCGCUGCUUAAGGCUCCUCUGACCGUCGGCCCGACCCGACCCGGAGGAUCCGCGUGUUUUUAAAUUUUGGGCUAUUUGCGCGCGCAGUCCCUCCUAUUUUGCGGCGUGUUGCAAUUUGGCCCUUUUUCAUUAUUUUCUUUUAUUUUUAAUUUACCCCCAUAAUUUUAUUUUUGCUUCAAUUUGGUCCAUUUCGACGCUGCGUUUUAAGGCCUGGAUAAGUUUACUGUUUUGGUCCCUCCCUUUUUGCGCGUGUCGCAAUUUGAUCCUUGUCGUCUUUUUAUUUUCGAAUCAGCCCUGUAUUUUUUUAUUUUAUUUCGAUUUAGUUAAUAUUUUUAGCAUUUUUAUUAUUUAACCUUAUUAUUGUUAUUAUUAUUACUAUUAUUAAUUAUUAUUAGUUUUGUUUUCCUUUUUCUUUAUUUGUUACUAUUAUAUUAAUAUAUUAAUUAGUUUAAUAUUAUUUUCAGCUUUAUUUUUAUUCUAUAUAUAUACAUAUAUGCAUUAUGCAUGUCCAUAUUUUAUAAUAACUUAUUUUUACAUACACACAAACGCAUUCUUUUAUAUUUUAUAAUUUAUAUAUAUGUCUAUAUAUAUCUAUAUACCUUUUUAUUAUUUUCCUAUAUACAUAUAGGUACAUACAUGUAUCUUUUAUAUUUAUAAUUUCCAAAAUAUGUAUAUAUACACAUAUAUUUUAAAAUGCAUACAUGCUCGUACAUACACACUUUUUAUAAUGUACAUACUUAUAUUUUAUAUAUCUUUGUAUUUUAUAACCUAUAUAUAUAUAUGUAAAUACUUAUAUUUUUAUAUAUUAUAAUUCAUGUGUAUAUCUUUUAUUUAUUUUCUUCAUUUAUUUAUUUAUUUACAUGUCCGUUAUUAUUAUUUGUUAUGCUUUAUAUUUGUUUAUUAUUGUACAUACGUGAUUGAUUUUAUUUAUAUAUAUAUAUGUGACUUCUUAUUUACUUAUAUUUUGUUUGCCUCGUGAUUAUUUUGCUUACACCAUCAUCAUUCCAUUACGCCCAUUUUUAUUUAGAUUUCAAAAAAGAAAUUUUAAAAAAUAAAUAAGUAAUAAUCGAUAUUUGGGAUCUUCAAAAGAAUCGAGCCCUAACGUAUUGGGUUCCGAUUUUCUUCGUUGAAUCCAAAUAAUCGAGAUUACUCUUUUAAAAAAAGCUCACAAUCGGGAAUUCGAUACGUUGUGUCCUAACGCAUUGGAUAUGACAUGUCGUUUUCUCGAGAUGAGGAUUUUUCUAAAAAAUAAUAAGGCAAUAUUUAGCGUUUGGAAAUUCGAGGAAACGUGCCCUAAUGUGCUGGGUUUCGAUUUUUCUCGUUCAACCAAAUAGCUAAAUAUCCUUUCAAAAAUUUCAAAAUAAGGCAAUGUUUCGCGUUUGGUAAUUCGAGGAACGUGCCCUAAUGUGCUGGGUUUCAAUUUCUCGUUUAACCAAAUAGCCAAAUAUCCUCUUGAAUUUUAAUCCAUGUUAUUCGAAUUUUUUAAGGAUCGUAUUUUAAAUUUCUUUAAAGUUUUCAAUUUUCGGCAUUAAGACAUUAACUAAUCAACUUGGUACCAAUUUUUUGGGCGUUACGAGGGUGCUAAUCCUUCCUUGUACGUAACUAACUCCCGAACCCAUUUUUCUGAAUUUCGUGGACCAAAACCGUUUUUUAAUAAAAUCAAAUCGUUUAUUAAAAACAACCACUUUUCGAGGUGAUCCAAUCACACCUCAUUAAAAAGGAUUGGUGGCGACUCCCGUUUUCAUUUUUCAAAAUCCAAAUCGACUCCGUUUUCAUCAAAAAAUGGUGUCAACAAACCUCAAAGAAUCAAAGAAGAGAGAAUAUCAAAGAGAAGAAAGAAAGAAUGAUUUCUUCACUAAGUUCAACAUGAAGAACCUACAACCAUAGUAUUUAUACUAAGUUUUAACAAAGAAGAUGAAUAACAACCUGAACCAACUAACUCAAUAACUUAUUAACAACCUAAUUGUUGCAGCAGUUCCUUAACAUUCAUCGAACCUCCUGGCUGCUGCUAUUGAAGCUUGCGAACAGCUCAACUGUGAACACCUAGACUGCUGCAAAUCAAUCCUUAACACAUUAAAAUAUUUAAAAGUUUCACUUAACCAUAAAUUAAAAUUAAGUAAUAAAAUUCAAUAAAAUUUAAUGUUUAGGAAAACCGAAUCCUAUAAAACUAAAAUGAAAAAGUUACUUUAUACCAAAAAAAUAUGGAAAUGUUUUGUUUAUUGAAUAAAAAAAAACAAAUAUUAAACAAAAUAAAAUAUAAUUAUGAAUUUGGGUAUCCGAUAGAAAAUAAUUCACCUUAUCAUCCUUUAAAACUUUAAAAAUAAACAAAAUAAAACAAAAGAGACUGUCUAUUAUUUAUUCAUUUCUUUCUUCUCUUUUGAUUCAUUAGCUGAGUUAAUAUUCAGUUAUUUGGUUUUAGGUCUUAAAAAAUAUGACACAAAAUCUCGAUGACUUUGACGAUGUCGAGUUUAAAAUUCUUUUAACCAACUUCUAAAAAUAGACAAAAAAAAACAAUAAAUUAAAUUCCAAAAUAAAAAAUAAACAAUAUUUGGGUAGAAAGGUUUUUUUAAUCGCAUAUUUAACUUUAAAACACUAGCGUUUUCCGUUAUUUUUGCGGAAAAAGAAUAUUUUUAAGUUAAAAGUGGUUUUUCACCUGCAUAUAAAAUCCUUGACCCCGAAAUUUAAAAAAUAAAAAAAAGUGCUUCUGUUUUAACUCAGCCAAUGAAUCUAAAGAGAAGAAAGUAAAGAUGUAUGUUUCAAUUUUCAAAGGAAAUUGGCAAAGGCUUUCUUAGUAGAAAUGGAUAUUUA